Molecule: ribosomal RNA, 390 nt
Filed under: uncultured bacterium
Lineage: Bacteria
Description: bacterial SSU rRNA
Rfam family: Bacterial small subunit ribosomal RNA
Source: RNAcentral
GACGAACGCUGGCGGCGUGCUUAACACAUGCAAGUCGAACGGUGACGAGGAGCUUGCUCCUCCGAUCAGUGGCGAACGGGUGAGUAACACGUGAGUAACCUGCCCCGGACUCUGGGAUAACAGUUGGAAACAGCUGCUAAUACCGGAUACGAGACGGAGAGGCAUCUCUACCGUCUGGAAAGUUCUUCGGUCCGGGAUGGACUCGCGGCCUAUCAGCUAGUUGGUGAGGUAACGGCUCACCAAGGCGACGACGGGUAGCCGGCCUGAGAGGGCGACCGGCCACACUGGGACUGAGACACGGCCCAGACUCCUACGGGAGGCAGCAGUGGGGAAUAUUGCACAAUGGGCGAAAGCCUGAUGCAGCGACGCCGCGUGAGGGAUGACGGCCUC